Molecule: unclassified non-coding RNA, 715 nt
Filed under: Hevea brasiliensis (rubber tree)
Lineage: Eukaryota; Viridiplantae; Streptophyta; Magnoliopsida; Malpighiales; Euphorbiaceae
Source: RNAcentral
CUUCUAAUUACUUCAGCAACGCUUGGAUGUCGAACCUUUACAGCCACUACAAUGGGCUCAAUCUCCUGACCAGGAUAUCUAUAUUUUAAAGUAGCUCGAUGAACUUGGGCAACACUUCCAGAUGCUAUAGGUUCCUCUUCAAAGUCUGCAAAAAUUUCAGGCAGCCUACGUCCAAAGGCUCUUUCAAUAGUCAUUCUGGUGAAGGUAAAACUAUGUGCUGGUGCUUUAGCAUGGAGUCUUGCAAGUUCUCUGCACAGAUCUUGGGGAAAAAGAUCUGGUCUUGUUGCAGCCCAUUGACCCCAUUUAAUAAAAGCUGGUCCUGCUUUUUCAAGUGUAAGACGAACAACACAAAGCCAUGUGUUUCUAAACUUAUGACUGAGAGAAUCUGCAAAUGGAGCCAUAACUAUGCAGGGCAAGAACAAAAUCGCCAAAUAAACAGCUCUGAGUAACAAAAUUAUGCCCUCAAGAAGUGAUAGCAGUAAUGCAUUCAAAUAACCAUGGCCAUCUUGUGUUUGUGUGUACAUAGCACCCCUUGUCCUUAAACUUUCUGCUUCUACCCAUGUUCGUUGAGUCCAAGCAAGCUGUCCAAUUAUGAAGGCAAUAACACGAGGAGCCAACAAAUUUGAUCGUGUCAAUGCUAGGCUCACUGCACAGGCUAUUCUACUUACUGGGGGUAAAGUUGGUUUAUUGUAAAACCAAAUUUGGGAAAAUCUCU